UCGCGGCCCUUGCCAACAGCAAGGCCGAGCAUAGGAAGCUGGCCGGGCUUGGCGUCGGGAACGUGGUGACGAUCGACACGUCGGGCUGCGAG
Molecule: transfer RNA, 92 nt
Filed under: Paenibacillus tyrphae
Lineage: Bacteria; Bacillati; Bacillota; Bacilli; Caryophanales; Paenibacillaceae
Description: Paenibacillus tyrfis tRNA-Pro
Source: RNAcentral